This 72-nucleotide transfer RNA is filed under the name Camelus bactrianus (Bactrian camel). It matches the Rfam family "tRNA". From Rfam's summary of the family: Transfer RNA (tRNA) molecules are approximately 80 nucleotides in length. Their secondary structure includes four short double-helical elements and three loops (D, anti-codon, and T loops). RNAcentral also lists the same sequence under 1 other name. The record is from Rfam by way of RNAcentral. Lineage: Eukaryota; Metazoa; Chordata; Mammalia; Artiodactyla; Camelidae.
GUGGGUAGAGCUCAGUGGUAGAGCGCAUGCUUAGCAUGCAGACAGUCCUGGAUUCAAUCCCCAGUACCGCCA